UACGUAGGGCGCAAGCGUUGUCCGGAAUUAUUGGGCGUAAAGAGCUCGUAGGCGGCUCGGUAAGUCGGGUGUGAAACCCCCAGGCUCAACCUGGGGACGCCACCCGAUACUGCUGUGGCUAGAGUCCAGUAGGGGAGUGUGGAAUUCCCGGUGUAGCGGUGAAAUGCGCAGAUAUCGGGAGGAACACCAGCGGCGAAGGCGGCACUCUGGGCUGGAACUGACGCUGAGGAGCGAAAGCGUGGGGAGCGAACAGG
RNAcentral lists this ribosomal RNA (254 nucleotides) under uncultured bacterium. Its description in RNAcentral is "partial 16S ribosomal RNA". It matches the Rfam family "Bacterial small subunit ribosomal RNA", at positions 524 to 776 of the family's 1533-position model. The record is from RNAcentral.